CAGGUACACAGCGACAUUGGGGCGGUAUUUCGAAAAUGUAUGAGGGGCGAGGAGGAGCUAGAUGCAUCAAAUAAUGGAAAAAUCACGAACUUUAGGCGAUGUACGACAUUUGGGGACAAGUGGGAACUAAGAUGGAUAAUUUAAACUGCUCGGAGCGGAUGACUGCUGUAAUUCAAGGGGAGUACGGCGUACCCUUGAGAACAAGGCGUGUCCCUUGGAACACGACAUGUUCAUCAAGGACACGGUCGUGUCCUUUUCUCUGGAAGUCACGGUCGAGAAGCGCUAUACCAAGAACACGUCUGUAUCCUUCUUGGACACGGCGUCCUAGACGGUUUUUCUAAACAAUUUUCCUCCUCAAAUUGGGAUAGACGAUAUAAAUACCCUGGUUCUCUCUCAUUCCAGGACAGACCCUUUUGGACGAUAAUUAGAGAAUAGUUCAG
Molecule: long non-coding RNA, 440 nt
Filed under: Linum usitatissimum (flax)
Lineage: Eukaryota; Viridiplantae; Streptophyta; Magnoliopsida; Malpighiales; Linaceae
Description: long non-coding RNA (LUSI_LNC002821)
Source: RNAcentral